AUUAAUAGAACUUUUAAUAUAAAAAUGGAGCGGGAGAACCAAUUUAUGGGGUGAGUCCGGCAUGUCCGGUAGGGUUAAGCUCUUUCGACCCGAAUCCGUCAGCUAAUCUCGUAAGCGUUGGAAGAGAAGGUGA
RNAcentral lists this small RNA (133 nucleotides) under Pseudobacteroides cellulosolvens. RNAcentral's name for it is "c-di-AMP sequence". It matches the Rfam family "c-di-AMP riboswitch aptamer (ydaO/yuaA leader)". Rfam says of the family: This family represents a conserved RNA structure found upstream of the ydaO and yuaA genes in Bacillus subtilis and related genes in other bacteria. The ydaO/yuaA element is thought to act as a genetic "off" switch for the ydaO and yuaA genes in its native state. It is believed that the element may be triggered during osmotic shock leading to activation of ydaO, a predicted amino acid transporter gene, and members of the yuaA-yubG operon which code for KtrA and KtrB K+ transporters. RNAcentral also lists the same sequence under 1 other name. Lineage: Bacteria; Bacillati; Bacillota; Clostridia; Eubacteriales; Oscillospiraceae. The record is from RNAcentral.